GUUUAAGCAUUGAAUUUUGAUUUAGGAUAGGCAAUAUCUUAUAAAGCAAGAGUAAGCAUAUUUGUUUUUCUUUGGGAUUAUUGAAGUACAUCUUUCCUUGCUAAGUUGUAUGAGUUGUGUGAUUAUGCAUAAAAGAUGAGUGUGAUGCUUUUCUUGUGAUUAUCCCCUUUGAUCUAGUCCUAAACAAGGUUUAAGUAAAUAGAGUGAUAAUGAUUAGA
RNAcentral lists this long non-coding RNA (218 nucleotides) under Phoenix dactylifera (date palm). RNAcentral describes it as "long non-coding RNA (PDAC_LNC015665)". Lineage: Eukaryota; Viridiplantae; Streptophyta; Magnoliopsida; Arecales; Arecaceae. The record is from RNAcentral.